AGUGAACGCUGGCGGUAGGCCUAACACAUGCAAGUCGAACGGCAGCACAGUAAGAGCUUGCUCUUACGGGUGGCGAGUGGCGGACGGGUGAGGAAUACAUCGGAAUCUACUUUUUCGUGGGGGAUAACGUAGGGAAACUUACGCUAAUACCGCAUACGCCCUACGGGUGAAAGCAGGGGAUCUUCGGACCUUGCGCAAUUGAAUGAGCCGAUGUCGGAUUAGCUAGUUGGCGGGGUAAAGGCCCACCAAGGCGACGAUCCGUAGCUGGUCUGAGAGGAUGAUAAGCCACACUGGAACUGAGACACGGUCCAGACUCCUACGGGAGGCAGCAGUGGGGAAUAUUGGACAAUGGGCGCAAGCCUGAUCCAGCCAUACCGCGUGGGUGAAGAAGGCCUUCGGGUUGUAAAGCCCUUUUGUUGGGAAAGAAAAGCAGCAGGUUAAUACCCCGCUGUUCUGACGGUACCCAAAGAAUAAGCACCGGCUAACUUCGUG
RNAcentral lists this ribosomal RNA (492 nucleotides) under uncultured bacterium. RNAcentral's name for it is "partial 16S ribosomal RNA". It matches the Rfam family "Bacterial small subunit ribosomal RNA", at positions 29 to 507 of the family's 1533-position model. The record is from RNAcentral.